This 159-nucleotide ribosomal RNA is filed under the name uncultured Piloderma. Its description in RNAcentral is "5.8S ribosomal RNA". It matches the Rfam family "5.8S ribosomal RNA". Rfam says of the family: 5.8S ribosomal RNA (5.8S rRNA) is a component of the large subunit of the eukaryotic ribosome. It is transcribed by RNA polymerase I as part of the 45S precursor that also contains 18S and 28S rRNA. Functionally, it is thought that 5.8S rRNA may be involved in ribosome translocation. The record is from RNAcentral. Lineage: Eukaryota; Fungi; Basidiomycota; Agaricomycetes; Atheliales; Atheliaceae.
CAACUUUCAACAACGGAUCUCUUGGCUCUCGCAUCGAUGAAGAACGCAGCGAAAUGCGAUAAGUAAUGUGAAUUGCAGAUUCUCAGUGAAUCAUCGAAUCUUUGAACGCACCUUGCGCUCCUUGGUAUUCCGAGGAGCAUGCCUGUUUGAGUGUCAUUA